UUGAUUCAUUUGUUUUUUGCCUUUCGGCCACUCAGAUAAUGCUGUAAAAACAAUAAGAGUUUGAUACCCCCGGCGACGCCGAAGCGCCGCCGAAGCAACAAGUGGUAAGUUCACAUAGGGUUUGGGAGUUGAAUAAACUCGAUAAUGAUCCCUCCGCUGGUUCACCAACGGAGA
This 174-nucleotide unclassified non-coding RNA is filed under the name uncultured fungus. RNAcentral's name for it is "sequence contains ITS1". Lineage: Eukaryota; Fungi. The record is from RNAcentral.